Molecule: non-coding RNA, 511 nt
Organism: Odocoileus virginianus texanus
Lineage: Eukaryota; Metazoa; Chordata; Mammalia; Artiodactyla; Cervidae
Source: RefSeq, a predicted model, not a curated record
UCUCUGUAUCUCCAUGUAAUUGAUAACAUCCCUGGGCUGUAUUUUGGUCUGUGCAGGGACUCAUCACACUGACAUUGGCAUUGCUUCCAGUUGGGUAUUUGUAGAGACAACUGAUCUCUCCAGUGUAACUCUCCCAAGUGAGUCUUCCAACGCUGGUGUGUAUUUCAGCUUAAAUAUACAUCUCAGUUUGGAUGAGCCACGUUUCAAGUGCUGAGUAGUCACCUGUGACUCAUGGCUACUACUUUGGACAGCCCAUCUCCAGAGAGUCCAGCAGAAAGCCCAGGCCAGAAAAUUUUUAAUUGAGGAAAACUCUCCUUACAGAUGCUCAGAGGAAAUUCUGCUAAAUGGAUGCUAUCUGUUUGCUUCCAUCCAUAGAAGAUUUCUUCAACAACUAUCUUCAUGACUCCUUUGACUAUUUCCGCAAACUUAGAUGCAAGAUUGUACACCUCUUCAGUUUCUUUCUAAUCUAAUUAGUAAUAAAUAUAUCCAAUUAAAAAUCAUACUAAAAAUA